AGUUUAGUCAAACGUGUAGAUGCGUGUACUGUUCACCAUAGUUCAAGUGCGGCAGAGUCUUCAAUUGUUCAGUUAUUGGCAAUCAUCUGUCAUUCUCUGGUGGCUAUUUCCACCUGCUAAGUACUUGAUAUCACCACUUAAACUGGUAGUCAUAAUUAGUCUGGACUCUAUAGCCUUUUUGCAAUGAAUAAAAGCUCAAGAUCAUCAGCAUCAGGUGGAGAAGUCACACCUUCUUGUAUUUUUAAACGGGAUCUUAAUGCGUUACAUAAAGAAGUGAUGCAUUGCUCAGUACAAGUUGAGCGACUGAAGCAGGAAUUUGCUGAAUUAAAAAAA
Molecule: long non-coding RNA, 333 nt
Organism: Amphimedon queenslandica
Lineage: Eukaryota; Metazoa; Porifera; Demospongiae; Haplosclerida; Niphatidae
Exons: 3
Source: RefSeq, a predicted model, not a curated record